AGCAGCCGCGGUAAUUCCAGCUCCAAUAGCGUAUAUUAAAGUUGUUGCAGUUAAAAAGCUCGUAGUUGAACUUCAGGCCUGGCUGGACGGUCCGCCCUCUGGGUGAGCACUGUCUGUGGUCGGGUCCUACCUUCUGGCGAAGCGGCAUGGCCUUAACCGGCCGUGGCGGGGAGCCAGGACUUUUACUGUGAAAAAAUUAGAGUGUUCAAAGCAGGCACGCGCUUGAAUACAUUAGCAUGGAAUAAUGGAAUAGGACAAUGGUUCUAUUUGUUGGUUUCUAGGACCGUUGUAAUGAUUAAUAGGGAUAGUUGGGGGCAUUAGUAUUCAAUUGUCAGAGGUGAAAUUCUUGGAUUUAUUGAAGACUAACUACUGCGAAAGCAUUUGCCAAGGAUGUUUUCAUUAAUCAAGAACGAAAGUUAGGGGAUCGAAGACGAUCAGAUACCGUCGUAGUCUUAACCAUAAACUAUGCCGACUAGGAAUCGGGCGAUGUUGACAAAAUGA
RNAcentral lists this ribosomal RNA (501 nucleotides) under uncultured Paraglomus. RNAcentral's name for it is "SSU rRNA". It matches the Rfam family "Eukaryotic small subunit ribosomal RNA", at positions 569 to 1074 of the family's 1831-position model. Lineage: Eukaryota; Fungi; Glomeromycota; Glomeromycetes; Paraglomerales; Paraglomeraceae. The record is from RNAcentral.